Molecule: long non-coding RNA, 2311 nt
Organism: Phyllopteryx taeniolatus (common seadragon)
Lineage: Eukaryota; Metazoa; Chordata; Actinopteri; Syngnathiformes; Syngnathidae
Exons: 4
Source: RefSeq, a predicted model, not a curated record
GUAUAUACACAUCAACAGCUGUUCAGUCAGGAGAACAAUGAGAGCACACUAAUUUUGGAAAAACAAGUUAACACACUCUAAUUUGUCCUUCAAUGGCAAAGUACUCAAAUUUACAAAGGACAAAUAUUUGUGAUUCAAUAGAAAACACAUGGCGGCACGGUGACCGACUGGUUAGAGCGUCAGCCUCACAGUUAUGAGGAGCGGGGUUCAAUCCCCGGUCCCGCCUGUGUGGAGUUUGCAUGUUCUCCCCGUGCCUGCGUGGGUUUUCUCCGGGCACUCCGGUUUCCUCCCACAUCCCAAAAAUAUGCAUUAAUUGGGGACUCUUAAUUGCCCGUAGGUGUGAAUGUGAGUGCGAAUGUUGUUUGUUUUUUAUGUGCCCUGCGAUUGGCUGACAACCAGUUCAGGGUGUACCCCGCCUCCUGCCCGAUGACAGCUGGGAUAGGCUCCAGCACGCCCGCGACCCUAGUGAAGAGAAGCGGCUCAGAAAAUGGAUGGAUGGAUAGAAAACACAUUCUGACUCUCACUGGCAGGAUAUGGUUGCAGGUGAACUGAAGCCUAUCCCGGCUGACUUUGACACCCAGGACCGGUCGCCAGCCAAAGAAAGGUCACAAAACUAAGCCUUGCAUAGGAAAAAUUCUCUUGGACCCUCCACAUCCUGGUCAUCAGCGUUCCAGCUCCUUCCCACAGGAUGUCCCCUGGACGCCUCCCUGGUGAGGUGUUCAGGACACAUCCCACUGAGAGGAGGCCCACGGGAAGACCCAGGACACACUGGAGAGACUGUCUCUCAGUUGGAUCUGGAAUGUCUCGGGAUCCCCUGGAAGAGCUGGACACAGUGGCUGGAGAGAGGGACGUUCAGGGUUCUCUGCCGAGGUUGCUGCCCCCGCGACGCACCCUCAGGAGUUUGACAGCUGGGUGUGUUGAGGUGCAGUCGUUUGUGUAAAGAGAGAAGAGCAGCGGAGACAGGACACAUCCUUGGGGGACCCCAUUGAUGAUGGUACGUCUGGAUGAGGUGGUUUCCCCCAGCCUCACCUGCUGUGUGUUGCCCAUCAGCAAGCUGUAAAUCCACUGGCAGAUGGAAGGAGAGACACUGAGCUGGAGGAGCUUGGAGGAGAGGAGUUCAGGAAUGAUGGUUUUGAACACAGAGCUGAAGUCCAUGAACAGGAUAAUCGUGUAGGUCCUUGCGCCUACUAGUGUCAUCUAAAAUAUGACAAGAAGUGAUUUAUUUAUUUUUUAAAAUUGCCAACCCAUUUGAAUUUCUGUAAAUGAUGCUGCCGAUGCUGUUUAAGUGCUCUUCAUGUGUACAGGUAUAUGCUUUAGUUUUUUUGUACUUAUUUUCCUCUGUAUGUACAAUAUGAGGAGGGACUAAUUAUUCCAUGCACAAUAUGUCUGUAUGGAAAUAAGAAAGUGGCCAUGGGCUCAAGAUAAGGCCAUCAGUGCUUUGGUGUGUCAGUCCAGUGGGCUGUUGAUGUCAGUGAGACGAGGCGAGACUGUCUACACGCUCGCGUGCUUGUCUUUGGGGUCUGUUUGAAGUGGAUAAUCAGUGACGUUGUGGAAUUGUUCGCACUGGAGAAAAAAAAUCCUUGCAUAUCAUAAAGUCCUAACAUGACUAGAAAUAAAUGAGAGUAGCUAUUAAAAUGCCUGUUAUAGGGUCAUUUCUUUUUUAUGGUGUGUGCCGUUAAAUGAUCCCCACUGCCUAAUGCUACAAAAUGGUCUAACUAUCAGAGUAAGUGUAUUGUCUAUCCCAUGUUGAGUAUUUCAAACUGAAAGUCAUUUUUUUUGUGUGUGAUUUCAUUAAAAUAAUUCUUAGCGCAAUGACAGUUUAUGGAGUUAUGCUUGUGAUGUAACAAACCUGUCUGAAAUUUUCAUAGAAUAUAUUUUACCUGCCCUUACUUGCAACCAUUGUGACACCUGGGUGAAAUGCAUAUUUCUGACAUUGUGUAUUAUAGACUUAUAAGAAUCUAACGUGUUGUCAUAAGACUUUGGUCGAGGAAGUUUAGAAAAGCUAAGCACUCAAGUUUUAAUUGCUAUAAUUUCCAGCAGGAAACAACAGGAAUGUCAUUGCCUGCACAUGCAGAAAUGCAUGCGAUGAUAUAUUCUAACAAUGCAAGGGUAUGUGGCAAAUAGAAACACUGUACAUAUGUCUGUAUUAUAUAAACUUUAUCCUGCUAAAUUUUCUUGAUGUUACAAUAAUCCUAAUGAGUACUGUCACACUAGAGAUAUUGUAGAGCUAUUGUAAGCACUAUCGCAAAGCUCUUUUAAGACAUUAAGGAUAAUGUCAUUGCAAAAAGACAGACUUGGCAGAUAUACAGUU